RNAcentral lists this long non-coding RNA (1159 nucleotides) under Piliocolobus tephrosceles (Ugandan red Colobus). RNAcentral describes it as "lncRNA (ENSPTEG00000010617.1)". Lineage: Eukaryota; Metazoa; Chordata; Mammalia; Primates; Cercopithecidae. The record is from RNAcentral.
UUAUUUGAGUAAAAUGAAAAAAAAAUUCUUUUCUGAAAAUAAAACUUUUUUGGAAACAGAAAUGCUUAUGGAUACGAACGUCAUUGUAGAGACAAACGAGAUAAAACAUGGGCAAGAACAAGGAUACCAGGAACAGCAGUACAAGUUAAACAAACUAAAUUUUAAUGUUCCCUACAGUUAUAUCCAAUUUUUGUUUAACAAAAACGAAGUCAUGUUUAUAAUAGGUGAAAAAGGAAACUCACGAAAAUAUAAAGCAGCAUAUAUUGUUAACAAUAAUAAUGCAGGUGAAAAUGAAAACCUAUUAAUUAUAACAUCUAUAGUAAACACACUCAAAUGGAAAAGUUUAUUUCCAACGUAUAAACAUGUAACAGUAUAUAAUAAUGAAGAACGUUUAUUACAGAAUAAAAUACAAAAUGGACAAUCGAAUUUAAUUAUAUGUAUAGAUUUUUUACCUAAAAUAUUAAAUAUUUGUUGUAACCAAAUAAUACUUGACAUGUGCCAUUUUAAUUUAUUUAAACAAAUUCAUAUAUUUAAUGACCUACGAUUACUAAAUUUUAACAAAAGAAUAUUAAUUUUCAAUAAAAUAUUAAAUGACUGGAACUUACUAGUGUCACUGUUUUAUUUGAGCAGUUCGUUUUUGGAUACUUCUAUGGUGAAGCAGAUUCAAUUAUGUGGCACUUAUGACUGUACUUGCGACAAAGACAACACAAACAUAAAUAAUAACAACAUCAAUAAUAAUAAUAAUAAUAAUAAUAAUAACACUAAAAAUAGCAUCAAAAUCAAACAAAAAUGUGAUAAAAAAAAAUUAAGUGACAUAAUGCAAAACUUCCUUACAAAUUUUUACAUUUUUUAUAAAACAGACGUUUCAUUAACUCACGAGCAUAAUAUGGAAGUUGUCAACUGUGGCGGUACCGCAAUAUGUACUAGCAUAAGUGAAGAAGGUACCAAUACGAGUAUGAUUCGUAAUAGUAAUAAUAUUAACAAUACUGUCGAAGAUAUUAGUGGCAAUAAUACCAUUAGUCAUAUUAAUGGUGACAGAAGUAAUAAAACAUAUUUUAUUAUAACAUACAUGAGUGGAAUACAAAAAUGCAUUUAUGAUAAUGUUCAAGAAGAAUAUAAAAAUUAUACAUGUAUACAUCCAUUAUUACUAUUAGAUGAA